This is a long non-coding RNA of Amphibalanus amphitrite, 814 nucleotides long. RefSeq lists it as uncharacterized. The transcript has 3 exons. Lineage: Eukaryota; Metazoa; Arthropoda; Thecostraca; Balanomorpha; Balanidae. The record is from RefSeq and is a predicted model, not a curated record.
GUUUGGAAAGAAAAAGGACACGGCGAUAUGCUGAAUUGUUGUAACGUUUCCACGUAUUACCGACGUUCCGAUUACCCUGUACUGUACUGAGAGCCCCGUUCUUACCAGUGCGUACUCGACGGGCGGCCGGUACCGCGGCAACAGCACUGGCACGCCCAGCUGCGCCGACGGCUCGUUGGCGCGGCGCUGCAGCGCGGCAUCAUGGGGCCGCGGCCGCCUCUGCUACUGUGGCUGGACUGCCGUGUCAGGCCGGUCGCUGAUCCAGCACACCAUCCACUCCAGCAGCGCCUCCUCCUGGAGCUGGCGGACGCAACGGAUGUGCUCGGCACGCUCGGCCUGCUGAACGUAUAUACUCUGGCUGAACACGGUCGAGAUGGCCUCCAUCUGGGAUGAGCAGCGGCGGCACAAGGUCUGUCCUCAGGAUCGCGUGUCCGCUGCUGUGCGUGCACACCGGUACCUUCUGUCACCCUGUCCGUGUACCGCUGCUCCAGGGGUACAGCUGGCCGGGAGUGGUGCCACCUGCACCCCUGCUGGCUUAUCCUCUGCUAGCUUAUUCGGGGCUCAACUACCGCAUGUGGAGCGGUCGCGGCCCAUCGAGGGUGGCGGCAGAGGCAGCCCCCCUGGAAGCCGCGGUACCGGCAGAGACGGCUAGGGCAGCGGGACUGCUGCUGUAUGUGACCCCGGCCGAAUUACCGUCCGGCCUGCCGCCCUCAACGUCACGGCACCACCUAAUAUGGCCAUGGGACUUGGAGCCGCGGCCAUGGUGAAGGAGUACCACUACAAGAGGCGACGGGGUUCGGGGUGCGUGCGUGCG